GACGAACGCUGGCGGCGUGCCUAAUACAUGCAAGUAGAACGCUGAAGAGAGGAGCUUGCUCUUCUUGGAUGAGUUGCGAACGGGUGAGUAACGCGUAGGUAACCUGCCUUGUAGCGGGGGAUAACUAUUGGAAACGAUAGCUAAUACCGCAUAACAAUGGAUGACACAUGUCAUUUAUUUGAAAGGGGCAAUUGCUCCACUACAAGAUGGACCUGCGUUGUAUUAGCUAGUAGGUGAGGUAAUGGCUCACCUAGGCGACGAUACAUAGCCGACCUGAGAGGGUGAUCGGCCACACUGGGACUGAGACACGGCCCAGACUCCUACGGGAGGCAGCAGUAGGGAAUCUUCGGCAAUGGGGGCAACCCUGACCGAGCAACGCCGCGUGAGUGAAGAAGGUUUUCGGAUCGUAAAGCUCUGUUGUAAGUCAAGAACGGGUGUGAGAGUGGAAAGUUCACACUGUGACGGUAGCUUACCAGAAAGGGACGGCUAACUACGUGCCAGCAGCCGCGGUAAUACGUAGGUCCCGAGCGUUGUCCGGAUUUAUUGGGCGUAAAGCGAGCGCAGGCGGUUUGAUAAGUCUGAAGUUAAAGGCUGUGGCUCAACCAUAGUUCGCUUUGGAAACUGUCAAACUUGAGUGCAGAAGGGGAGAGUGGAAUUCCAUGUGUAGCGGUGAAAUGCGUAGAUAUAUGGAGGAACACCGGUGGCGAAAGCGGCUCUCUGGUCUGUAACUGACGCUGAGGCUCGAAAGCGUGGGGAGCGAACAGGAUUAGAUACCCUGGUAGUCCACGCCGUAAACGAUGAGUGCUAGGUGUUGGAUCCUUUCCGGGAUUCAGUGCCGCAGCUAACGCAUUAAGCACUCCGCCUGGGGAGUACGACCGCAAGGUUGAAACUCAAAGGAAUUGACGGGGGCCCGCACAAGCGGUGGAGCAUGUGGUUUAAUUCGAAGCAACGCGAAGAACCUUACCAGGUCUUGACAUCCCGAUGCUAUUUCUAGAGAUAGAAAGUUACUUCGGUACAUCGGUGACAGGUGGUGCAUGGUUGUCGUCAGCUCGUGUCGUGAGAUGUUGGGUUAAGUCCCGCAACGAGCGCAACCCCUAUUGUUAGUUGCCAUCAUUCAGUUGGGCACUCUAGCGAGACUGCCGGUAAUAAACCGGAGGAAGGUGGGGAUGACGUCAAAUCAUCAUGCCCCUUAUGACCUGGGCUACACACGUGCUACAAUGGUUGGUACAACGAGUUGCGAGUCGGUGACGGCGAGCUAAUCUCUUAAAGCCAAUCUCAGUUCGGAUUGUAGGCUGCAACUCGCCUACAUGAAGUCGGAAUCGCUAGUAAUCGCGGAUCAGCACGCCGCGGUGAAUACGUUCCCGGGCCU
Molecule: ribosomal RNA, 1369 nt
Filed under: uncultured bacterium
Lineage: Bacteria
Description: bacterial SSU rRNA
Rfam family: Bacterial small subunit ribosomal RNA
Source: RNAcentral